AACGAACGCUGGCGGCAUGCCUAACACAUGCAAGUCGAACGAAGGCUUCGGCCUUAGUGGCGCACGGGUGCGUAACGCGUGGGAAUCUGCCCUUUGCUUCGGAAUAACAGUUAGAAAUGACUGCUAAUACCGGAUGAUGUCGCAAGACCAAAGAUUUAUCGGCAAAGGAUGAGCCCGCGUAGGAUUAGCUAGUUGGUGGGGUAAAGGCCUACCAAGGCGACGAUCCUUAGCUGGUCUGAGAGGAUGAUCAGCCACACUGGGACUGAGACACGGCCCAGACUCCUACGGGAAGCAGCAGUGGGGAAUAUUGGACAAUGGGCGAAAGCCUGAUCCAGCAAUGCCGCGUGAGUGAUGAAGGCCUUGGGGUUGUAAAGCUCUUUUACCCGGGAUGAUAAUGACAGUACCGGGAGAAUAAGCACCGGCUAACUCCGUG
RNAcentral lists this ribosomal RNA (433 nucleotides) under uncultured bacterium. Its description in RNAcentral is "partial 16S ribosomal RNA". It matches the Rfam family "Bacterial small subunit ribosomal RNA", at positions 29 to 507 of the family's 1533-position model. The record is from RNAcentral.